Molecule: unclassified non-coding RNA, 603 nt
Filed under: Hevea brasiliensis (rubber tree)
Lineage: Eukaryota; Viridiplantae; Streptophyta; Magnoliopsida; Malpighiales; Euphorbiaceae
Source: RNAcentral
GAGGAUGUUAAUUUCAGUGAUUCUGAGCUAGUUUAUCAUGUCAGGGAUGCCCUUGUUUCCGUCCAAUCGGGAGAUAGUGACAGUUACCACCAGCUUGUAGGGGUAAUGCAUCAUUCGCAACGUCUUGCCCCUGAUGAGGUGGCCCUUCUUGUGACCAGUCUAAAGGCGCUAUCUGGGGCAGUUUCUUAUAUAGACAAUGUUCACCAUGACUCUCUUCUUAAUUCUAUUUUUGGAAUGAGCAUGUGGAGCUAUGGACCUGAUGUGAUGGAUGCGUUGCUUGAAUUGAUUAUUUCCUUGGCUGCUUCAAAUGGAAAAUAUAUUGAUUCAUGCUUGGAUAUGCUUGUGGGAAAUUUCAUGCCACCAAUGUAUUUUGUUGAUGCGCUAAAGCAACCUCGUGGUCAGAAGAAAAAGGAACAAGUUCUUUCUCGGGUGCAUACAGCUCUGGAAGAUAUUGCUACUCUGGUACCUAUGGCGGCAUUGAGAUUGUCAUCAAUAGUUGUCCAUAGGAUGCCAACAACCUUUUUUAAAAAGAGUCUUGAGAAGGAUCGACUGAAGUAUCGAACUGAGAUCUAUGUGGAGAACAUGUUGAGAUUGGAGAGCGGA